Molecule: unclassified non-coding RNA, 339 nt
Filed under: soil metagenome
Description: partial contains 5.8S ribosomal RNA, internal transcribed spacer 2, and large subunit ribosomal RNA
Rfam family: 5.8S ribosomal RNA (bases 1-120)
Source: RNAcentral
GAUGAAGAACGCAGCGAAAUGCGAUAAGUAGUGUGAAUUGCAGAAUUCCGUGAAUCAUCGAAUCUUUGAACGCUCAUUGCGCCCGCCAGUAUUCUGGCGGGCAUGCCUGUCCGAGCGUCAUUUCAACCAUCAAGCCCCCGGGCUUGUGUUGGGGACCUGCGGCUGCCCGCAGGCCCUGAAAACCAGUGGCGGGCUCGCUGUCACACCGAGCGUAGUAGCAAUCACCUCGCUCAGGGCGUGCUGCGGGUUCCGGCCGUUAAACAGCCUUACAAAACCCAAGGUUGACCUCGGAUCAGGUAGGAAGACCCGCUGAACUUAAGCAUAUCAAUAAGCGGAGGA